Molecule: transfer RNA, 41 nt
Filed under: Pyrilia barrabandi (Orange-cheeked parrot)
Lineage: Eukaryota; Metazoa; Chordata; Aves; Psittaciformes; Psittacidae
Description: partial tRNA-Glu
Source: RNAcentral
GUUCUUAUGGUUGAAGCUUACAACGAUGGCUUUUUCAGGGC